UCAAAGUAACGUAUAUAACUUACCGAGGUUGCAUGCGGUAGCAUUUCUUCGGCAGCUUUGAUCUUGACGGUUUUCUUCCGGUCGUCUUUAAUAUAUUAAAGCUUCGCUGCUUCAACGAUGUGGAAGACCAGAGUGAUGGAUGUGGGGGCAAGUUUAGCGUAGUGGUGGUGUCUCCCAAAUUCCAAGGAAAACCUUUGUUGCAGCGUCACAGACUGAUAGUCCAAUAGACUCGGUGUUGAAGUGAGGCAGCCGCCUCCCGUUUAGUCUUACCAGCAAUGGCGAGUAUGAACGCAUCCCUUCGCCAAGCUUGGAAUGACCGGGUUUUGAAGUAUGAGAGCAACAGCAGCGAGUACAAAUGCACAGUAUGUGAUAAGGUGUACGCUGGAGAAGCCGCAGCAGUGGACCACCUGAAGAGCAGGCGUCACUCUGUGGCGGGAACCAGACAAGCCUUGACCAACCUGCUCAACUCCGAGGAGAAUCCGCCGUCACUAGAGCAGCUUCUCCCCUCAAACAUUAGCAUAGCUCUCAAUCGACGCCUGAUAACAGUCACCGAGGCUAAAGACUUCAGGUGUAACCGAUGUAGAAUAGACAUUGGUGGCAUUGGGCACCUAGAGGAGCAUCUGAAAAGUUCUGGUCACAAGAAGACUAAAGGGUCUGGAAGGCAGAGUCAGAGUCCUGCGUCCACCAGCUCGCGUCCCUGUCUGGUGAGACAUCUCUCCUGUCCAACACCCUGUGAGCGCAGGGAGAGAUCCCAUUCUUCUCCGAAAUAGAAAGCUAGUUAAUCACCUGUUUUUCCUUGGUUGGUUGUGUGUACAAGUGACACAGAGGGAGUAUUCUGAGCAACACCAGCAAAACUAAGAGCUUGAGGUUCCACUGUGGAUUAUUGCUUUAGUGACCCUUUAUGUGUAAUCGUGUUGUGUAGAUCUGAGUUGCUGUGUUCUUGCCACAUCAGGGACUAGUGCAGAUCAAGCAUUGCAGGUAUCGCAUGUGGAAGAUUGGCCUGGGAUCUUGAAAAUUCUCCUGAUUUCCAUAUUGUUCUUAAACAACAAACAACCUUUGGGACUGCUCUACAUAUGAUUGGUAAUGCGCUCCAUGGUCAGUGAUCAAGCGACUGCCUUCUGGAAUCAAGUCUCAGAUACAAAGCCAAUUACAAGCUUUGCCUUCAGAAUGAUAAAAACCUCUUGUGCUCAUAAUGCAGGUGUGAUAAUACGAGGACUUUUUUGAUGACAUAAUACAUCAGUCUUUUGGUGGACAAUGACGUCUGUGAUGAGUAUGAAGCCUUUUCCCCCCCAAAUCUGUAAAUAGACGAGUACUGCAAAGGUGACAUGGUAAUACGAGCAUUGAUUUUCCAAGUGAUGAAGUCUUGAACACUUUGUGAUUGCAGGUGACAUUUGUUAUGUUCAGAGUUCUCUACAGAUGGAAUUCCAAACUCAAGAUUGAACUGUGCAGAACAUUCAUUCCUAACAUUCAAGUUACAUUCGGUUUGCAUCACUGCAGUGAAAUCAAGCAUACUUCCGACAAACUUCUAAACAUGAGCAAAAGUAACGCUGAAAAUUUUAUAUAUAUAUUAGUAUAUAAAAAACUGAAAUGGGAUAUUGAGGAGUAUACAGUAACAAUAUAAUUUCCUCUAUGCAUUUCAAGCCUUAGUACACUUGUACUCAAACAGGGAGCCUUUCGUUUGGAGGCAAAUCAUGUUUCAGACUUUCCUUGUGACAUAGUAUUAACUUACCGAUAUUAAGGAUCUCUUAAUUCCUAGUCAUUAUAAACUUAAAUUCAUGCUGUAGUAAAUACUCUGAAAACUAUGACUCAAGAUGUGUAUACUGUAGAAUACUUAUUGUAGAGGAAAUAGAGAGACUAGAUAUGUUAUUAGAAGAGAUUACAAAUAAGCUUUAUUUAUUAUACACUUAGAAAUGAUAUAUAAUAUGUAUAAAAUAUUUUUUACUUUUUAUGGAUGCAGUUAGCAUGUUAGCUGGAAUGGCCAAUAGUUUACAGUAGUCAUAAAUAGUAGUUCUCAUGUCAAGAGGCUAACUAAGAUGUUACAUGUAUUCCAGGUGUCAGAUUAGCAAAGCAAGAGCAUGUGCUGCGUAGAGAUCUAGACUAGCCUUUCCUAAUGGUAGAUAUACCUGGAUUCUAAGACUAGAUGUUUUGUGGGCAAAUUAUGGUUGAAUAUUUGUGUUGUGGUUACUGUAACUUAAUCCAUUUGGAGAAAAACCACUGACUGGUGUAUAACUUUAUGGGAUUUGCAUUAAUUUUCUAAACCCUCUUUUUAAAAGUUCAAUUAGCUUUGUUGAAUUUCAGUUAUCAGCCAUAAUAAUCUUUGCACUGACAUAAGGAAUAUUCAUAGAAUGUCACAGAUGAUGAGAAAAUUUAACUAAACUUAAAGAGAAGCCAGCAAUUUAGGUAAUGUAAAUAAAAAGAGAACAGAUGCCAUAGAAGAAUAGGCUCAGUUUAAAUUGCGUGAAGUUGUGGGGUAAAAUUGAUUUUUAGAGAUGUCGUGGCGAUUUUGGAAAUGCCUUCCAAACUCUGACUUUUCAAUGAGAAAGCACAUUGCCUUUUGUGAAGAGCAAAUCAAGUAUAUAUCACUUGGAUGGAAAAGCACAAGAACCAGAGUAAUAACCAGUUUUUUAUUAAGGGUUAGUUUUGCGUACCAUCUUCAUUGGAAUCAUGGUUUUUUAAAUUGGUUUUCUGACAAAAUACUGAAUGGCAAAUGGUAUAUGUAGAAGACAAGGAUUUUGAAAAUAUUUUAACAUCAGAAAUUCUAGGCUUAGCCUACUGAGAUGCCAGGAUAGUCCUACUGAAAAUUCAGUUUUAUUCAUGUGUAAAUCUUUUUGUAUUAUAGGCAUUUGACUUCCUGUAGUACAAGGUAGCUUGUAUCCAUUCAAUGGGAAGUCCUAGUUAGUCCUACAAAGAAAGUUGAAAUGGACAGUUAGAUAUUUUCUUGAUAUUUGCACUCGAGUAAAAUCUCAGCGGAUUUCCUUAGUCAAUAAUGAAAUCACAGUUUUUAUAUUCAACAUUGAGAUGAUUUUAUAACAAAUGAUGUUACCUUCAUUGUUAUCGACAAGUAAAUUUUAUGGAUAUCUAUAAGAGCUGUGCUCAGUUUUAAGAUAGUAAUUUGAAUUAAUACAUUUUACAGUUUUUGAUCAAGAAAAUAUUGCAUGAAAGCUUGCACAUGUUAAAGAAGUGACGAAUGUUGAUAUAUUAAAGAAUACUAUAUUGCAUCAUAGAUAUGAGUCAUAUAUUUUUUUAAUGAAUUUGCAGCCUUUCUUCGUUGCUUGUAGCUGGUUUCUGUAGUAUUCAGUUUGAAGCCAUUUUAUGUUUCAAUGUUAGUUUUGUAGCUCAUGACAGUAGCUCCUCAACUUAUCAGAGGCUUCUUCAGGUGUCUAGUCUUGUUGUAGGUAAGAAAUUAUGGUCAACAACAGUGACCCUACAGUUUAACCUAAUCUCAAGCACUAAAUGUGUCCCCCACAGGUGACAGUAAUCUUAUAUAACUUUUUAAGCGCCUCAGUGGCGUGGUUGGUAUGGUGUUUGCGUCCCACCUCGGUGGUCGCGGGUUCGAUUCUUGGCCAUUCCAUUGAGGAGUGAGAGAUGUGUAUUUCUGGUGAUAGAAGUUCACUCUCGACGUGGUUCGGAAGUCACGUAAAGCUGUUGGUCCCAUUGCUGAAUAACCACUGGUUCCAUGCAAUGUAAAAACACCAUAUGAAAAAAAAAAAAAAAAUAACAUUUAUUCUAAUCAACAGUUAACAGCAACCUGAUAUCAGUUUUAGCCUGAUAAAAGCUGUGAUUGACUCGUUGAAUUUAAGAAAUUUUUCCAAAAAAUGCACCACUUUUCAGGUCGGGUAACUUCAGGGGUUACUGUAUCCCAUGUUUAGAUUUUUCAGCAUGUACCAAAGAGAUUAUUUUUUCGUGACUUUGAAACUAUAUUUUUUUACGUCUGUAUUUUCAGUAGGUUUGCCUAUGCUGCAGCAGAGUUGAUUAGUUUUACUGCUGGUCUUUGUACCUUAGAGAGUCCUGGUUACCCAGGUUCCUACAAAAAUGAAACAUUCCAUCUUCUUUGUAAUACUUGAUAUGUAUCAAGCUCAGCUACAGUAAUUCAUCUAUUUCUUGACAUAUUCCAUUUACUUGUACCUCUUGAUGUCUUUUGAGGUUGCAGAUAUUCAUCUAUAGGUACUGUGUCGAGAUUUUUAUGCAGCUCUUGGUCAUGAAGUAAUCAGAGUACUGUACUUAUCGUAUCUUUUAACACUACCAGAUUUAUUUUUAUUGCCUUGCUAACAUUAGCAGGAAGUCAGCUGUAUGGGAUUUCAGAAUUUAAACUACUACUAUAACUAAUAAUAAUAAUAACAGCAGAAUAACAUAGAUGUAGGAAGACCUUGUACUUAAUGUUAUCUCAUAUAACAUUUAGUAAACCCUUUAUUUUAUGUCUCAUUAUAUUAGAAUAGAAAAACCAAAUUAAGUAGGUCAAAUAUUGUAUCGCAAGCUUGUUGGUGUAAGCUGGAACUUGGCACUGCUGUCUCCCCUACCUAUACUGCCCUCACCUGGGUGGACAAACAGGUUUGCAGGAGGGUGGAUAUCUCCCCUACCCCGACCUGGGGCAGAACCCAUUUGCAGGGCUUGGGUUAUGUCUUGAACACAUUCCAGGAUGGUGGAUGAUGACAGACAAGUUCAGUCACUAGGGUCGCCGCUAGCAAUGAUUGGUCUUGACACCUCAACGUUACAAGGAAUUAUUUGAUCUAGGAAAACACGGGGUAGUCCUUCAAUCAAGACACACCAAAGCUGUUACUGUUUGGCUCUGUCUUUAUGGACCAUGGGCAUAACAGCCAUUGUCCAUACCAUUGAAAAUAUUGCUUCUCGUCUGGUCAGCAAAGUUUAGCAAUGAUUGCGUCCGGCCAGUACUUGGAUAGGUGACCUCCUGGGAACACUUAAUGCAGUUGAUGUCUAGGAGUCAUCUUUUGCUUACAUGCUUAGAAGUAUUGGGACUAGUCAGUACUUAGAUGAGUGACCGUCUAGGAAUUUCAGAUCCUGUUGGCGUCUAGGAGACUUUUUUCCCAUCCAUGAUUCAAGUCUUGGGCCUAUGACUUUCCUCAUUCUGCCUGAUUCAUUAGGAAAUCAACAGUAUACAAGCAUCCCCUUUCUAAGGACUAAAGACUACCAAGUGCACAAAAGCCUUUUGUGUUACCACUUAAGUCUCCACCUCUAAAUUAGUGACAGCAAUUUGUUUUUGGUUCUGACUCAGCUAAGAAGUGGUGUCUAGGAGCUCCAUUUCUUUUGACUUUGUAUGAUCAAACGGAUGUACUCCACAGCUGACAUGGUGGACAACAGUAUGUUCCAGGCAAGAUUUCAUAAGAUCAGGGGAAUUGGUCUGCCCCUAACAUUCAGGAAGCCUGUCGGACAAUAACUAAGGAUGGGAAUGUUGGCAUAACAGACCACAUUCGCCUCCUUUUACCUUUGUGACGUUGCCCAUAGAUCCUUGGACUUUUUUGUUUUUGUUAUUGUUUCUUGUGCUCUGUGGUGGCUGCUCAGUAGUCAUGUAGAUUACCCAGCUUUUGAGGACAGGUAGCAUCUUGCCUAAGCUGCAAAGAGGUGUGUGUUGGAAUGGCUUUCUACCUUCUCUUUUAUACCUAAGGGACAGCUGGAUGGGCAUGUAUGCAGGUGUUCUAGAUGGCCAAGUAUCCUGCCUAUAAUCUAGCUCUCUUGGGAUUAAUAGAUGCAGCUCCUUCCUGCUCUAGCAAGGGGAGAGAGGGACUGGCAAUGAACAGACCAGUUGGUUUUCUUCAACUCUAUUGUCCUCAACAAUUAGGAUUCAUCUAAGCCUAUAUUUGAAUCAUUGACAUUACCUUCCAUCUAUUUGCAGACCCAAAAGUCUGGCAGUGGAACAUCACACUUGUUCAACAAAUCAGAGGUAUGGGUCUCCUUCCUUUGAUCUUGCAUGGCCAAGAAAGAGGACCCAGGUGAGGUGAACUAACAGUCAGUUCAGAGAUUUGCUCAGAAUCCUGCCACCAAGGAGUAAGUCUCUCAUAUGGAAAGACCGAGGAUUUGUAUACAAGUAGGAACAAAUGACAAAUUUUAAAAUAAUUUGUAUGUUUCCUAACCUACAAACCUGAUGGCUUUUACAUAAAAGUCCCACCUCUGCCCCCCCUAGAUGUUCGGUGUUUGACCAUUCUUCACCCGAUCUACACGUGUUGCCAGGUACCACAAGAUUCCUUGCUUUCAUCUGCUUUUUUACCGGAUCCAGCUAGGCGCUAGAAAUUAUCCUAUUGUUAAGACCUCAGGUUUGUAGCUAUGAAAAAUACAAAUUGUCUUAGAAAAUUUGUCAUUUUUAACCUAAGACUCCGUCCACGCGGUCGAGGUUUGCUCAAUGUGACGUCAGAAGCGCAGAUACAGCGGGAAAAGGUCUGACUUUCCCCCGCUUCUGACAUCACAUCGAACACAGUUCGUCGAGUACCAUAUGGACGGGGCUUUGGCCAUAAUUUGCAUGUUUAGGAAAUUUUGCAAUUAGGCCUACCUUACAAUUUCGAUGAAUCUUGAAUAGUCAUACAGUACCUCUGUGAAAAGACUACCGUGUCAUGUGUCGAAUAAAAUGUAUGCCAUUAGUGAUGGAUUGGAAAUUUUUGUUCACAAUGUGUCAUUUUGAUUUUGGUAUUGCUGAUUUUGAAAAGCAAAAUUUUACACACAAAUUUACCUGAAUUUAUGCUGUAGGCAAUUUUCAAAUUAGUUCUCUUAUAUGGCAAAAUUUUGUUGAUACCAUGAAAUAAAAUUUGUUGUAAAUCAGUUAGUUUAUGUUCAAGAAAAUUGUUCAUGAAGAACAUUGGAGUAGUAUCGGAGGAGUGACAGAACAAAGGAAUAAUGGAAAUAAGAAAAGAUUUCAAAGAAUUAGUAAUGUGAAUAUAAUGACAAGUACAUCCUGACCAAACCUAACAUAACCUAAGGCGCUGCAUCCCACAGAUGUGGGGUAGAGAGUGAUCCCCAUAGCAAUACUUUGUCCCGUUGCUGAAUAACCACUGGUUCCAUGCAAUGUAAAAACACCAUACAAUCAAAACAAACAAACAAAUUAAAGUAAAGUCAGCAGUCCUUACAAGGUUAAACCCUAACCCAACUUGACCCAGGGUGUAGGGUACUAACUGAACAAGAUGGGUUUCAUACCUCUUUCCUCAUCAAGCCCUCCCAUCUUGUGGGUCCACUGCCCUACCUGAGGAUGGCAGGAUAGUGUUAACCAUACCUUGAAUCCAUGCAUACAAUUAGGAUAUGUCAUACCUUUAGUUUAGAAGGUCAAAAUUGGUACUCUUGUGAUACAGAAUUUUUGUCACUAAGUACAAAAGAAAUUCAAAAGUUCAAGCAAAGAUGCUAUUCCUUGAAUUUUAAUACAUUUUUGUCCAUUUAUUA
Molecule: RNA transcript, 7377 nt
Organism: Macrobrachium nipponense
Lineage: Eukaryota; Metazoa; Arthropoda; Malacostraca; Decapoda; Palaemonidae
Gene: gny
Gene name: dolichyl pyrophosphate Man9GlcNAc2 alpha-1,3-glucosyltransferase-like
Exons: 7
Source: RefSeq, a predicted model, not a curated record